Molecule: long non-coding RNA, 3489 nt
Filed under: Brassica rapa (field mustard)
Lineage: Eukaryota; Viridiplantae; Streptophyta; Magnoliopsida; Brassicales; Brassicaceae
Description: long non-coding RNA (BRAP_LNC005237)
Source: RNAcentral
UCAAAAUUAAAUGAGUAACAAUUUUCAUGUUAUCAAUGUUAGAAUCGUUAUUUAUACGGUUAUGAAAUCUUAAUCUUAUCAAUAUGUGAAUUAUAGGGCACAAUUGAAAGAUGUGGUGCUAGAAGGAGGAGAUGCAUUUGGCCGAGCACAUGGUGGCAUGAAACUCUUCGACUAUAUGGGAACUGAUGAGAGAUUCAGCAAGCUCUUUAACCAGACAGGAUUCACAAUUGCGGUUGUGAAGAAGGCUCUUGACGUCUAUGAAGGCUUCAAAGAUGUGAAAGUGUUGGUUGAUGUGGGAGGAGGAGUAGGUAACACCCUUGGUGUUGUUACUUCCAAGUAUCCUCAUAUUAAGGGUAUCAACUUUGAUCUGACUUGUGCCUUGGCACAAGCACCCUCUUAUCCUGGGGUGGAACAUGUCCCCGGAGAUAUGUUUGUUGAUGUUCCAACCGGAGAUACCAUGAUUUUGAAAGUAAGUUCAUCAACUUAUCAUUCAUAUUUAUUGACAGCGUAUGUAUACUAGUAUUUUGUACUUACUGAUGGUAUUAUUUUUGUAUUACAGCGCAUACUUCAUGAUUGGACAGACGAAGACUGCGUGAAUAUUCUUAAAAAUUGUUGGAAAUCACUACCAAACAACGGUAAAAUUGUUGUCAUAGAAUUAGUCACUCCUGAUGACGCAGAGAAUGGUGACAUCAACGCAAACAUUGCCUUUGAUAUGGAUAUGUUGAUGUUCACACAAUGUUCUGGUGGAAAAGAGAGGUCACGUGCGGAGUUUAAAGCUUUAGCUGCAGCUGCUGGCUUCAACCAGUGCAAAUUCGUUUGCCAGGCAUAUCACUGUUGGAUUAUUGAGUUUUGUAAAGAAGAUGUGUAAAAUAUAAAAUAAAACCUCUUUAAAUGUUAGUUUCAUCUUGGUUCCGAUUCUUUGUUUGUGAUGAUCAUACAUUUGUGUGUAUGUGUAUGUUCAAGAAAUGUGAAAUAAUAAUAAGCUUUUUGUUUUACUCUUUGAGAACCAACUUUAUCUAGUUAAUUAGCCACAUGAGAUUCCUUUUGAAGAGCUCACAAGACUCACACAAAGGUUACUUCUCUAAUUUAAUGUUCAAUUUUCUAGUAUUGCAAAAAAACAUGAAAUAAUAUUCUUUGCUUUAGUUAAAUUUAAAAAUAUAUUUACAUAUUAGAUUUAGAUUGAUAUAAAUAUGAAAUGAAGCGUAUAAAAUAUUUAUGCAUGUAUGUGCAAGCGAAACACCUAGUUUUAUAUGGUUUUGGACAAAAAGUUAAAACUAGAUGUUAUCUUCUUGUUAUUUCAUAAAUUUAAGCAUAUAUAUAUUUGCAUGAUAUUAUAUGAAACCUUCUUAUCAACCGUAUAUACAUUAGCUAUACUGCCUUUGUUUUUUUUUUCUUAAGAAAAUAGAGAAUAUCGUUUGGACAUUUACCAACUUAAUUUGUAACUUAACUUGUUAUUUUAUACUAUUUUUUUUUUUUGUGGAGAAAUCCUUUUAUAUGGUUACUUCAAACAAAAGAAUUCAGUUUUGUUUAUGCUGACUAAGUCCAACAUGGCAUAAUUAGUGAAGUUUGACAGCAAUUUGUGAACUUCCUCGAAGGAUAGACAAAAUAAGAUGUAUGCCAUAAAGGACACUUGUGAUGUUACACACUCGCUUCGAUGGACCAAAUGGUUGUCCCCUUCCUUAGUCACACUCGUCCGGAUAAAGUUGGAGUCAUGCAUUUGCAUACGCAUGUCUCGAGUAUUAUAAUAUUAUCAUGUUGGUCAAAUUGAAGAACGAAAUACUUAGCAAACUGAAGAUUUCCCAAGAUUUUCUUCUAUAGGUUAUGUUACUCUGCAAACAUGUAUAAGAUGAACUUAUAUAGUCACUUGGUUGUAGAGAUAGAUACAAAUCGAUAUCUAAUUUUUAGAAGUAUUCGUGAUUUGAUUUGUUCUGUCUGAAUAGUCAUUUAUUUGAUUGGAUUCGAUCUGAUUUGCAAAUACACGAAUAUUUGGUGUUUGGAUAAAAACAAAUCUGAUUUAAUUCUUAUAAAUACAAUAAAAUUAGAAAAACUAAAAAAAAAAAAAUCCUGCAAUAAUAUAAAAUAGUAAUAUGCUAUUACAAAAAAAGAAUAUUUACUUUUAAAACUCUAAUGUCUAAAAUAAUCAUUUUAAAUAAAUAUAGAUAUUCUAAAGCUUAUAUAAAUACAGUAACUAUAUAAUUUUAUAUAUAUACAUAUAACAGAUCAGAUCGGAUAUCCAUUUUUAAAAAUAUUAGUAUUUGUUAUUUGUUUCAGUUUUAAUGUAUACUGCAUAUUAGUAUUUUAUUUUUCUGUUCGGAUAAAAACAAAAUAAAAACAUAUAACGAAUUGAAUGGAUAUUUUACUUAUCCCGACUUGGUUGCAUCAUAGUGUUGAAAUUAAAAUGCCUUGACUUCUACUAAAAACUCAAACUAACUUAAAACAAAAUCUAAUUGUUUCAGCCGCCAAAACUGGCUCUUACUUUUCUACAUAAGACUCAGACUAUUCAGCCAACCAAAUGGAUCGGCAAGCCGACGAUAUAAUAAAAUAAAUUAAAGAAAGAAAGAGGAGGCUAAGCCUUAGCUAUAAAAAGGAGAAACCAGGAUCCAUCAUUUCAUCAUCCUCAACAUUACACAUAAGAAACAAAUACACACACACACACACACAUUCUCUAUCUCUCUGUUCCCUUGCUUCUGAUCAGUGUAAUCACCAAGGUACCUUGAAGGAGAAGAAAGAAAAGAUCAUAAAAAAAAAUGGGAAUCCUUUUUGAAGAAACCUUAAGCUCUAACCCCACAAUCCAAAUUGCUACCGAUGAUGAUAAUGAGUUGGGAUUAAUGGCCGUGAGAAUAGCCAAUGCUGCAGCCUUUCCCAUGGUUCUCAAAGCUGCCCUUGAACUCGGUGUCUUCGACACUCUCUAUGCCGCCUCUGUGUUCCUCUCACCAUCUGAGAUAGCAACUAGGCUACCAACUGCACCACGUAACCCGGAGGCGCCAGCUUUAUUGGACCGAAUGCUUCGUCUACUCGCUAGCUAUUCCAUGGUCAAGUGCGGUACGGACCAAGCUGGAAAAGGCGAGAGGGUCUACAGAGCCGAGCCAAUUUGUAGGUUCUUCUUGAAAGAUAACAUUCAAGACAUUGGAUCCCUUGCUUCCCAAGUCAUUGUCAAUUUUCACAGCGUCUUCCUUAAUACCUGGUAAUUUUUUAUUCAUAGAUUGAAAGUUAUUACAACAUUCAGUUUAAAUAUAAUAAAUCUUACCCUUAUUGAUACGCAUUUUUCUCAGGGCCCAAUUGAAAGAUGUGGUGCUAGAAGGAGGAGAUGCAUUUGGCCGUGCACAUGGUGGCAUGAAACUCUUCGACUAUAUGGGAACAGAUGAGAGAUUCAGCAAGCUCUUUAACCAGACCGGAUUUACCAUCGCUGUCGUAAAGAAGGCUCUUGAAGUUUACCAAGGUUUCAACGGUGUAAAUGUUUUAGUUGAUGUGGGAGGAGGAGUUGGUAAC